This 435-nucleotide ribosomal RNA is filed under the name uncultured Oscillospiraceae bacterium. Its description in RNAcentral is "bacterial SSU rRNA". It matches the Rfam family "Bacterial small subunit ribosomal RNA", at positions 341 to 792 of the family's 1533-position model. Lineage: Bacteria; Bacillati; Bacillota; Clostridia; Eubacteriales; Oscillospiraceae. The record is from RNAcentral.
ACGGGAGGCAGCAGUCGGGAAUAUUGCGCAAUGGAGGAAACUCUGACGCAGUGACGCCGCGUGCAGGAAGAAGGUUUUCGGAUUGUAAACUGCUUUAGACAGGGAAGAUAAAAGACAGUACCUAAGGAGGAAGCUCCGGCUAACUACGUGCCAGCAGCCGCGGUAAUACGUAGGGAGCAAGCGUUAUCCGGAUUUAUUGGGUGUAAAGGGUGCGUAGACGGGAAAUUAAGUUAGUUGUGAAAUCCCUCGGCUCAACUGAGGAACUGCAACUAAAACUGGUUUUCUUGAGUGCAGGAGAGGAAAGAGGAAUUCCUAGUGUAGCGGUGAAAUGCGUAGAUAUUAGGAGGAACACCAGUGGCGAAGGCGUCUUUCUGGACUGUAACUGACGUUGAGGCACGAAAGUGUGGGGAGCAAACAGGAUUAGAUACCCUGGUA